GAUGAACGCUGGCGGCGUGCCUAACACAUGCGAGUCGAGCGAUCUUCUUCGGAAGAGAGCGGCGGACGGGUGAGUAACGCGUGGGUAACCUGCCUCAUACACAUGGAUAACAUACCGAAAGGUAUGCUAUUACAAGAUGAUAUAAGAGAUUCGCAUGGAUUUCUUAUCAAAGCUCCGGCGGUAUGAGAUGGACCCGCGUCUGAUUAGCUAGUUGGUAAGGUAACGGCUUACCAAGGCGACGAUCAGUAGCCGACCUGAGAGGGGGAUCGGCCACAUUGGAACUGAGACACGGUCCAAACUCCUACGGGAGGCAGCCGUGGGGAAUAUUGCACAAUGGGCGAAAGCCUGAUGCAGCGACGCCGCGUGAGCGAUGAAGGCCUUCGGGUCGUAAAGCUCUGUCCUCAAGGAAGAUAAUGACGGUACUUGAGGAGGAAGCCCCGGCUAACUACGUGCCAGCCGCCGCCGUAA
RNAcentral lists this ribosomal RNA (468 nucleotides) under uncultured bacterium. Its description in RNAcentral is "partial 16S ribosomal RNA". It matches the Rfam family "Bacterial small subunit ribosomal RNA", at positions 28 to 523 of the family's 1533-position model. The record is from RNAcentral.